Molecule: long non-coding RNA, 1469 nt
Organism: Chinchilla lanigera (long-tailed chinchilla)
Lineage: Eukaryota; Metazoa; Chordata; Mammalia; Rodentia; Chinchillidae
Exons: 2
Source: RefSeq, a predicted model, not a curated record
UGUGCGCAGGCGCCGUGCUGCGGCCUGGGAGCCGGCGCGGGGCUGUGCGCUUGCGCGUUGGGGUCCUGGCGUUGCGGCUUCGCCCUGACGUCCAGGUUUCGCACGUCUUCGUCUUCCUGCAGUGUCUUGCAGCCCAGGAGCUUUGGCCCGGGGAGGAGUCAGGCUGCAGGGCUGGUGCCGUCGACGGGCCGGAGGGGCUGAGCCCCUGCUGUUCACGUCGACGGAAGGCGGAACACGCGGACGGGCAGCCCAGCACCGCCGCGGGGCCGCCUCCUGCUCAGAGGGGUGCAGCGUGCUGGCCGCAGGAGUGCACGUCACCAGCUCCCCGAGUGGUCCCCAGCCUGCCAGAGCUCGGGGUUCUGCAGGCAGGGCGUCCUGCGCGAAGGGUGUCACCCGUGGUGGAGAAGCUGUCUGCAGUGAAAGUUCUCUGCUCAGUUAUAAAUAGGAAUCAGGCAUGCCGCGUGUGAUUGUCUGGAGGCCGAAGCAUUGCACACGCUCCUUGAAUCGCAGGAAGACCAGAAGUGAAAGAAGAUUGCAGGAAGAUGUGUCCCUCUGCUCAGAUCAGAGACACGGACAGGGACAGAAGAACUUCAAAGGAACGAAUUAUACUUACCAAGAGAGUUUACGUGGAAACGCCUAGUAAAAUGAGAGUGUGGUGAUCUUACGGGGAAAUUUUAUUUGGAAGAAAAGUUAGUUUGAGUGACACACCUCCUUGGGUUCGUUCCACAGUUUAGUGUACAUGGGAGGCAAAUAGAGGUGAAAAUAUUUGGAUGUUGGAAUCGUAUGAAAGAACAUUACAUUUCUUUUGUACUGAAUGGUAUUUUUAAAAGUUUCCUCCACACUACUAGCAAAUAAAUUUUUAAGACCUUUGUACAAUGAAAGAUUUAUUGAAGGAAAUUUGAAAAAUAGGGAAAGGAGUAAUGAAGAUGUUAUUUCUCCUGGGGACCCACCAGUGAGAGAUAAGAGCUGUUAACAUUUUUUCUUUGCCUGGAUACAUUGAUUUCUUCGUCAUUAUUUUUGGUAGUCUAUUGCGUGAGUAACCUACCAUCUCCUUAACCAAUCUCUAGUCAUUGUAUAUGGAUGUCAUCUCCAUGUUUUCUGCAUUUCAAAGAAGCUUAUGAUGAACUCCAUGUUGCACGUUUCUUUUUAAAAAUUUACGUUGCAUUAUGCUAAUUCCUAAAAGUUGAAUUUCUGGAUCAAUGAAACAUACAGAAGUUUUGGAUGUGUAUUGUCAAGUGGUCUUUUCCAAAUGGUGUAGCAGUUUAUGUCGCUUGUAGCGUACAUGUGGGUAUCUGUUACACUGUUGCCUUAUCAAGUAAAGAUACUACAAUUUACGAAGUCCUUAGGAAACUUUUAAAGGGUUUCUGUAUUUAAGAAAUAUUUGAUAACUUCCUGCUGUUUCAUAACUAACCAUUUUGGUUGGUAUAGUAUCUACCUUAAGCAAAUUAAAAUGAACUUAUUUAAGAAUA